This 536-nucleotide small RNA is filed under the name Pan troglodytes (chimpanzee). RNAcentral's name for it is "retained intron". The record is from RNAcentral. Lineage: Eukaryota; Metazoa; Chordata; Mammalia; Primates; Hominidae.
GCAACCUGGGACUCACAUGGUCGUUGGAUGACCAAGUUCAGGCUCCAGGAGCCGUGCCUGAGACUCCCUAUGUCUGCCUAAGACUGGUCCCAGUUCGGUUCUCUCCCACAGCCAGAGCUGGUGGAACGUCUCAUUGCUGUAGAUAUCAGCCCAGUGGAAAGCACAGGUGUCUCCCACUUUGCAACCUACGUGGCAGCCAUGAGGGCCAUCAACAUCGCAGAUGAGCUGCCCCGCUCCCGUGCCCGAAAACUGGCGGAUGAACAGCUCAGUUCUGUCAUCCAGGACAUGGCCGUGCGGCAGCACCUGCUCACUAACCUGGUAGAGGUAGACGGGCGCUUCGUGUGGAGGGUGAACUUGGAUGCCCUGACCCAGCACCUAGACAAGAUCUUGGCUUUCCCACAGAGGCAGGAGUCCUACCUCGGGCCAACACUCUUUCUCCUUGGUGGAAACUCCCAGUUCGUGCAGUAAGCUAGCCUGGGUAGUAGGAGGGGCAUGCUUUACUCGCCCAGGCCCCGGCCUGGGGACCCUACCAGGGG